ACUUCCCCAAUGCUUACGGUACGAUGCUCCGCUGCGCCGUUCCGCGGCUCUUAGUAGGAUCCGUGUAGAAGGUUUCCACAUUUGCCACCCUCUCGAAGCGACAGCUGGCACGAGCGCGUUCGGAUGGGCGGCGGCGAGGACUCCGGCGAGCGGUGGUUGCGGUGGCUGUGGGAGCACGCGUCCAUCUUCCUCCUUCGCCCUCUUCUCGCGAUCUUGUUCGUCUUCUCUUUGAUCCUCCUGAGCUGGUUCGUGGCAUGGAAGACGGUGCUGGUUCACGUGCCCCUGGUUCAGGAGAUCUGCGGCCUCCGCAAGAAGCCCGUGAAGCCCAAACCCACUAAUCUCCACCGUAUCUCCCGCUUCUAUCACUCCAAUCCCUCUCUGAGGUUACUAAAUCAUUCUUAAAGAAGAAAAGAAAUUGUACCAGAGGUCUCCUUCCUCUUGAGUCACCAAUAUCUGGGUCCAUUCCUGCUUUAAGUAGUUCUUCAAGAAGGCAACUACUUCCAGUAGCAACUACAGUCAAUAGAUUGCAAGGCCAAGGAUGAGCCUCUACUCAAUUAGUUUGACCCUAGUCCAAGGAUCAGCAGCAGAGGUAUAUAUUAACUAACCUGAUUGCAAUCUUUUUGGAAUCCUGGACGAGGAGCUGUGUUCUUGGUUCAAUGUAAGCCACAAAGAAUGUGAGGAUGAUGUCGACGGCGAAGAAUGCAUGGAUGAUGUUAUCGGCAAUGAAAAGUCCUCCCUUUGGAGCAGCAUUCAUGAAACCAAUCUCCAGUGGGAACACCCAUGCAGAGUAGGCCACCAGCAUCACCAUGAACGUUUCCCAGUACCUGAAUGACAUCUCUUAGUUUCUCAAUUCUAUCACUCUUCCUCCAGAAAAGAAAACACAAAGUGAUCAUCACUGAGAUCUAUAAGAAUCGCCGGACAAUUCUUGACACAUUUCAUUUGUAUGUCUCUCUUAUCAACUAUAUAUUUCAUGCAGCGUGCGUUGUGAAGUACUACUGAUGAUUGCGUUAUUGGUUCUAACCUGUAUCUCGAAUCCAUUGGUGCAAUAACUCUUCCCUUGGGGUCAACCUGGGUCUGGUUGGAACUUGACACGCCCAAAGGAGGGAGGAUGAGCUCUGCAAGGUUACCAAGGAUGAAGGAUGUGGAGCUCUCAUCCUCGUGCUUGUUCCUUCUUGCAUGGCGUUCCUUCGUUGAGCUCUGGGCUGCGGUACUCGUUUCAAAGGUUGGACCUGCCUGCGUUGCCAUUUCAUGUGCUCGGGGAUAUAUAUGAUCCCUUGAUCUCACAGUGUGGCUUCCUACAAGCCAAGGAGGAGGAGGGCAACCCUAAUAAAUGGUGGAGGAGGAUGGACCUAUCGUGUGGGAGGGCCACUAUUUUUCGAGUUGAUUGCGAUGAUUGGUGAUGGGGAUAAGGGCUGCUGCUGCAUGUGGUGGCCGAGUUGUCUUGUUCGUGGCCAAGAUCAUUUUGUCCUCAUUCGGGCGUCCUUUCCUGGUUUUUAUUAUAGGAUGUGGCCGAGCCAAAUGCUGCUAUCUAUGUGGCUCGGCCAUGGAAAGCACACUAAAAAUUUCUCAGGUCUAUUGAUGAUUGUUACGAAGAUUGUGGGGGAAAUUGGUGGUGAACGACAAAUGAGUAUGAAAAAGACUUUGUGGCGGUGUUGCCGA
Elaeis guineensis (African oil palm) is the source of this 1659-nucleotide non-coding RNA. Lineage: Eukaryota; Viridiplantae; Streptophyta; Magnoliopsida; Arecales; Arecaceae. The record is from RefSeq and is a predicted model, not a curated record.